Non-coding RNA from Pelodiscus sinensis (Chinese soft-shelled turtle), 3258 nucleotides. NCBI's taxonomy places the organism in Eukaryota, Metazoa, Chordata, Testudines, Trionychidae. The record is from RefSeq and is a predicted model, not a curated record.
CAGACCAGAUUUGGUAGGUCUAGCUCUUAUGGUUUAGGAGGAGUUCUUAGAUAGACUAACAGAUGCUCAGACAGAUGGACUCAGAUGGACACACUCUAGAUAGAUAGAUAGAUAACCUCACAAUGUGUUCUUCACUAGCCGUUGUGCUUGCUAGUUGUAAAUACAGAAAAUCCUCCUUUUAAAAUGGGUGUAGAGCUGAGUAUGACAGACAAACAAAAAGAGCAAAUAGCAAAGUAGCAGACGUUAAUGUUCAGAGGUAGGACCCUAUUUCUGAAUAUGGAACAUUUGGGUAGGUGACUACCUAUCUGAUCCACUGUUACUGUAAUCUACAAAAAUUUAGGUGCAUAAUUUUUUUUAUGCAUGUUUUUGUACAGUUUUAGGUCUCCCUUUGAGAACUUGACUCUCAGGAAUGUUGCUCUUUGAUAUUUUACUUUUAUACCAUUGAGAUAAAGAAAAUGUUUAAAAUUAUUGCCAUAUAUUAAAUAGCAUGCAAAUAUGAAGAAUAUCAAUACAAAUCCUAUAAUUUAAGAACUAAGACUAACAGUAAUUUCAGUUUUCUGUUCUAGCAAUUUAAGGAUAUAAACUUUUAAAAACUUUGUAUUUCAGACUCAGAAAAAGAAACAGGAAGACCCGAAGAUACGGAGUUUUGGACACCAAUAUAGAAAAUAUGGAGUUGACACCAUUAGAACAAGAUGAUGACGAUGAUGAUACAACAUUGUUUGAUGCCAGUCAUCCUCGAAGAUAAGUAUGUGCCUUUCAUUGAGAAAAAAUAAUCUUAGAUCAACAGAAAAAAGAAGAUCAUGCCGGAGGAAUAAGAAGCCAAUAUAUCUUGGGGGUAUUUAAAUGGUGUAUAUUAUGGUAUACUUUGUUGCAAUAAGUACUGUAACAAUUUGUUAUACCUCUUUGUAUAUACAAAAAAUACUCUAAAUUCAGAGCCUAUGGGAGGGGUGUGCAGUAAAACUCAAACUCAAAACAAUUUGAAAAGUACGAUUCCCUUUUAAAACAGUAUUUUGCUGCUUGUUUUAAUACCCUAUUGGUGUAUAUGGUAUUCACUUUUCUAUACCAGUCUGGAGUAUGUUCACUUAUUUUUGCCAACGUAAUAUUUUAUGUCAGCAUAAACAUUUUAUUUGUGUGUGGAUUCUGUAGUAUGGCUAGAUUUUCUGUAGGUUAGUUGAGAUUCUUUUCCUGUCUUGAAAGAGCUGUGCCAAACUACUGUCUUUUUUUUUUUGUUUUGAUUUUUUUAACUAGAUUAAUAAGUUACUGUUUGUAAACAUUAUUUAAAACUGCCUAAGUGCACCAAUAAAAAUGUUUACAAUAUUCCUAACAUUGUGUAAGAAACUAUUUUUGUAGGUUUUAAAGGUGCCUUUGAUAGGAUCUUAUGAAAUAUGAUUAUGUUAUGGCCAUUCUAGUCAACCAGUUAUAACUAGUAGUUCCAUCGGUUUCUCUAACACAUGCAGUCACACGGAUGUAAACAGAGAGGAAAAUCUAUCUCCCCAGUCCAAUUUUUCAGGUAAUGUAAAUCUGUAUCGCUACAUUAACAUCAGUGAAGCUACUCUUAACUUCUACCAGUUGAAGAUCUGGUCCUUAAUGUUCAAAUCUUCCAAAAAAAGUCAAGUAGGAAGCCUUCAUUUAAUCCUUAAUCAGUUUCCUUAAGAUAUUGCAAGAUAAUGGCUGAUGCAGGACUCAAUAAGGAAAGAGUUAAAGGAGGGUAAUAUAACUAAUGGCAAUCAACAUGAGUUUAUGAAAAAAGAUGCUGUCAGACUAAAUUGAUAAUGUCUAUCAGAUUACAAGUUUGGUUGACAAAAUUAAUAGUCAAUUGCUGUAAUAUACUUAGAUUUCUGUAAGGAGUUCUACUUGAUACUGUAUGAUAUUUUUAUUUUUAAAACCCCCUAGAAUAAUAUAAAUUAACACGUUACAUGGAUUAAAAAUUGGCUAUCUGAUACACUUUGAAAUGAAAUUGUAAAUGGGGAAUCAGCAAUGAAUGGGCAUGUUUCUAGUUAGGUCCAUAGGGAUUGGUUCUUGGCUUUAUACCACUUAACUUUACCAGUGACCUGGAAGAAAGCACAAUUAUCACUGAAGGGUCACAGAUGACACACAAAUUAGGGGAGUGGUAAAUAAUGAAGAAAACAGAUCAUUGAUACAGAGCAAUCUGGAUCAGUUGGUAAGCUGGGCACAAACAAAUAUGCAUUUUAAUAGGUAUAAAUGUUUACAUCUAGGAACAAAGAAGGGAAGCCAUACUUACAAGAUGUGGGACUGAAUCCUGGGAAACAAUGACUUUGGGGUUGUGAUGAUGAUCAGCUAAAUAAGAGCACCACUGUGGCAAAAGGGCAACUAUGAUCCUUCAGUGCAUAAAAGGGGGAAUUUGAAGUAGGAGUAGAGAGUAUAUUUUAUUUCUGUGUUUGUCACUUGUGUGACUGCUGCUGGAACACUGUCCAGUUCUGGUGUCAACAAUUCAAGACAGAUGUUAAACUGAAGAGUGUUCAGAGAAGAGCCAUGAGAGGGAAGGAUUAGAACACAUGCCUUCUAAAAGAUGCAUGAAGACGUUCAGUCUGUUUAGCUUAACAGAGAGCUGAUUUGAUUAGUCUGUAAGUCUCUGCAUGAGAGCAAAUAUUUAAUAAUGGGCUGUGCUGUCUAGCAGAGAAAGGUAUAACACAAUUCAGUGGCUGUAAGCUGAAACCAGACAAGUAAGAUGAGUACAUUUUUAUCAGUGAGAGGAAGUAAGUGUUAGAAUUUACCAAGGGUCAUGAUGGGAGCCAACUCUAAUUAUAAGGUAGUUUAAGUUUCACACAUGUUCAGUCUCUUGUAUUUCUGCCAAGAUUAUCAAAAAGGGUGCCAAUAUGGUUUUGAUGGGUUUCUCUUGUUUACAAAAUGAAUAUAUUGCCUGCAAAUAUGCUGGGAAGGCUUAGAUUUUAAUUUGUAAAUGACAGUACAGAUUUUAUUGUGCAUACACAAAUUAAACAUUUCCAUUGAUAAAUGAAAUGUAUGAAUAGACAAAGUAAGAAAAAUGCUGCUUGAAAACUUUAAAGUUUGAUUUAAGGGUAUUUCUUUUAUAUAUGUUGACAUGUGAUGUUCAUACUUAGUGUGUUAAUGGUUGUAAAGCAUAAACUUUUUGAAUCUCAACAUCUGUCAUCUCUGACAAUCCAAUAAUUUCCCGCAACUGUGAGCAAUUAUUUUUGCUGACCCAUAAUGUUGUGCAACUAUGAAAAUUUAAAUCUCUGAAAAUAAGAAAAUAUGCUUAAAAUAAACAUUGAUACUGUC